Molecule: small RNA, 77 nt
Filed under: Sphingobium sp. YR768
Lineage: Bacteria; Pseudomonadati; Pseudomonadota; Alphaproteobacteria; Sphingomonadales; Sphingobiaceae
Description: Makes More Granules Regulator RNA (mmgR)
Rfam family: Makes More Granules Regulator RNA (mmgR)
About the family: SuhB later renamed mmgR (makes more granules regulator) was a putative non-coding RNA found multiple times in the Agrobacterium tumefaciens genome and related alpha-proteobacteria.
Source: Rfam by way of RNAcentral
AGAGCAGGCCUUUCAGGCAUCCUCUCCUAAAAACUUUCAGGCCGGUCCUUUUUGGAUCGGUCUUUUUUUUGGUCAAA